This 253-nucleotide ribosomal RNA is filed under the name uncultured bacterium. RNAcentral's name for it is "partial 16S ribosomal RNA". It matches the Rfam family "Bacterial small subunit ribosomal RNA", at positions 524 to 776 of the family's 1533-position model. The record is from RNAcentral.
GACGAACCGUGCGAACGUUGUUCGGAAUCACUGGGCUUAAAGGGCGCGUAGGCGGGCUGUCAAGUCUGGGGUGAAAUGCUGCGGCUCAACCGUAGAACUGCCUCAGAUACUGACGGCCUCGAGGAAGGUAGGGGCAUGCGGAACUGUAGGUGGAGCGGUGAAAUGCGUUGAUAUCUACAGGAACGCCGGUGGCGAAAGCGGCGUGCUGGACCUUUUCUGACGCUGGGGCGCGAAAGCUAGGGGAGCAAACGGG